This 5628-nucleotide small RNA is filed under the name Pan troglodytes (chimpanzee). RNAcentral describes it as "retained intron". Lineage: Eukaryota; Metazoa; Chordata; Mammalia; Primates; Hominidae. The record is from RNAcentral.
GUCUAACAUAGAAAGGAAUCUGCAGAAAGAAGCUGGUGUUCUCUCCGUGUUGGUUGCCUUGAUGGCAGGAAAGGCAGAGGUCAAGUAUGACCCAGAGGUCAUCCAGCCACUCGAGAUAGCUCAGUUCAUCCAGGACCUGGGCUUUGAGGCAGCAGUCAUGGAGGACUACGCAGGCUCCGAUGGCAACAUUGAGCUGACGAUCACAGGGAUGACCUGCGCGUCCUGUGUCCACAACAUAGAGUCCAAACUCACGAGGACAAAUGGCAUCACUUAUGCCUCCGUUGCCCUUGCCACCAGCAAAGCCCUUGUUAAGUUUGACCCAGAAAUUAUCGGUCCACGGGAUAUUAUCAAAAUUAUUGAGGAAAUUGGCUUUCAUGCUUCCCUGGCCCAGAGAAACCCCAACGCUCGUCACUUGGACCACAAGAUGGAAAUAAAGCAGUGGAAGAAGUCUUUCCUGUGCAGCCUGGUGUUUGGCAUCCCUGUCAUGGCCUUAAUGAUCUAUAUGCUGAUACCCAGCAAUGAGCCCCACCAGUCCAUGGUCCUGGACCACAACAUCAUUCCAGGACUGUCCAUUCUAAAUCUCAUCUUCUUUAUCUUGUGUACCUUUGUCCAGGUAUGUAUGAGAAAGUGGGCAGACCUCUCCCCUCCAUGCUGUGUGUGGCCCUCAGAUAUUCUGCCUGCUAAGCGCAAACAUAGUGCUUUAGCUUGGUUUAAAUGGCACUUUAUUGCAGCUUUCCUGCCCCACCCAGGCAGUUGCUGCUUUUUUUCUCUCUUAAUGACCAGUAGUUGGGGCUUGGGGCCCCCCCAGUGUGGGGGACUACUAAGGGCCUGGUUUCACUGUCAGUUUCAGUUGAUUGCAAGUGAUCAGAACUGUCCCUGGAAUAGCAACCUCCUUGCUGCAAGGUGUGGUGAACUCUGUGUCUCCAAUGUGCAUAUUGUUUAGGUUAAUUUACGUUCGUUGCUGGAAGCAACAACUGGAUCACCCUUGAGCCCAUGCCACUCUUGAGUGUUCUAUCUUAAGAGGUGGAGAUAUGGUCCUUGUCUUUCAGGAAGUUAUAAUUUAAAAGAGAAAGGCAUGAAAUGUCUGCUUUGGUGGUGAUAUUAAGGAACUAGCUGUGUGUCUGGUGGGAAGUGUGCCCUCUAUGCGUAUAUUUUGGAAUAUAAAACUAAAUCCUUGUCCUAAUAUUGGAAUGUUUAGGGGCUAUUUGGGGGCAAGCAUUGGUAGGCUGGAUUUUUUUUUUUUUUUUUUUGAGACAGGGUCUCACCCUGUCACCCAGGCUGGAGUUCAGUGAUGUGAUCAUAGUUCACUGUAGUCUUCAACUCCUGGGCUCAAGCGAUCCUCCCACCUCAGCCUCCUGAGUAGCUAGGACCACAGGCGCCUGCCACCAUGCCUGGCUAGAUAGGGUCUUGCUAUGUGCCCAGGUUGGUCUCAAACUCCUGGCCUCCAGCAGUCCUCCAAGCUCAGUCUCCCAAAGCACUGAGAUGACAGGUGUGAGCCACUGCACCCAGCCUGAAUUUGUGUUUUUCUAUAUUUUGUUUGAUUAUAAGUGUAAUGUACACUUAUUAUUAACAAUUCAAACUGUACUGAAGUAUAAGAAGAAAAGAGGAAGAUGCCCUUUCACUGAUGACAUUCUGCCUCCCGCCCAAUCUCAUUCCCCAGUGUUGCUAUGGUGAUAUUAAUAGUUGGGCAUUAAUCUCUCCAAAUCUUUAUAUAGAGAAAAUGCACACUUGCGUGUAUGUGUAUGUAUAUGUUCACGUAAUACAGAUACAGACUUUUUUAACUGAAAUGGGAUCAUACAAGAUAGACUGAUGUGCAGCUGGCUUUUUCCCUUAACCAGGUAUUAGACAUCUUUUAUGCCAGUGGGUUAUAGAUAGAGCCCAUUCUCUUUAGGGAAUGGAAUGCCUUGUGCUGUCUACAGUACAAAUGAGUCGUGAUUUUUUUCCCCAACUUUUCACCAUUCUCUUAUUAGAGGACAUUUGUGUUGUAUGCACUGGGUUUUAAAGGUCUCACAUGUUCUUGGUCAUCCAUUCCUGUGGACAGUAGUCCUCUGAAUUGGAAAGUAUAUUUCAUAAACGCCCAUCACAGAGGAAGAAGUACUGUCACGACUGUGCACAAAGCUAGAGGUUUUGCCAUCCCGAGGGCCCUUGGCCCUGUGUCGCUCAUUGAACUCUCCUCCCUACUUGCUGGCAGCCUUCACUGUCCUUGUCUUUCAGCUCCUCGGUGGGUGGUACUUCUACGUUCAGGCCUACAAAUCUCUGAGACACAGGUCAGCCAACAUGGACGUGCUCAUCGUCCUGGCCACAAGCAUUGCUUAUGUUUAUUCUCUGGUCAUCCUGGUGGUUGCUGUGGCUGAGAAGGCGGAGAGGAGCCCUGUGACAUUCUUCGACACGCCCCCCAUGCUCUUCGUGUUCAUUGCCCUGGGCCGGUGGCUGGAACACUUGGCAAAGGUAACAGCAGCUUCAGGUUCAGAAAAGAGCUGCUCCUUCAGUAAACAAAUCUCACUUCCUCUGAACACCAUGUUUAGAAUUACUAAUUAUACACAGCAUAGAGACUUAAAGAAAUAGGAAACCUCCAUAUAAUUAAGGUGCUCUAGUCACUAAUCUCCAAAUUGGUCACUACUUCUGAAAUCCCAGCUAAUCUGGUUAAUUAUUAAAACCAUCAUUCAGGUGUAUUGUGUAAACUAAAGAACCCUGGCCUUCAGGGCAGAGCCUACAUUGUCUCUUGGUGCAAAACUGAAUAUGUAGUUGGUCUAGACAUCCAUACAUCCUCCUCAAGGUCAUGCCAUUUUUAACACCCUUCAUUGUCCCCAACACUGAAAUGUAUCUUACAAGAGAAUGGAACUCAGGCCCUAAAAGAAAUUAGAUUGAACCUAAAAGAAAAUGGUCAGUGGGAAGACUGAUGUUUGUUUCCAGUCUGAAAUGUAAUUCCCAAACUUUAGUGGCACAGGCACUGUGCAUCAGUGUGGAAGUGACAUGUGGCCAUGUGUGGUGGAUAGCAAGUAACGCCCACCUGCAGAGCCUUUUAUCGUGCUGUGCGGCUGUUUCUCUCGCACCAGCUGUCUCUAACACCACGCUUGUGACUCUCAGGCUGGGUUUGGACAGGUCUGCUUUCGAUAGCUCUCAUUUCACAUUCUGGUUAUUUCCUAGAGCAAAACCUCAGAAGCCCUGGCUAAACUCAUGUCUCUCCAAGCCACAGAAGCCACCGUUGUGACCCUUGGUGAGGACAAUUUAAUCAUCAGGGAGGAGCAAGUCCCCAUGGAGCUGGUGCAGCGGGGCGAUAUCGUCAAGGUGGUCCCUGGGGGAAAGUUUCCAGUGGAUGGGAAAGUCCUGGAAGGCAAUACCAUGGCUGAUGAGUCCCUCAUCACAGGAGAAGCCAUGCCAGUCACUAAGAAACCUGGAAGCACUGUAAUUGCGGGGUCUAUAAAUGCACAUGGCUCUGUGCUCAUUAAAGCUACCCACGUGGGCAAUGACACCACUUUGGCUCAGAUUGUGAAACUGGUGGAAGAGGCUCAGAUGUCAAAGGCACCCAUUCAGCAGCUGGCUGACCGGUUUAGUGGAUAUUUUGUCCCAUUUAUCAUCAUCAUGUCAACUUUGACGUUGGUGAACCCCAACAAGCACAUCUCCCAGACAGAGGUGAUCAUCCGGUUUGCUUUCCAGACGUCCAUCACGGUGCUGUGCAUUGCCUGCCCCUGCUCCCUGGGGCUGGCCACGCCCACGGCUGUCAUGGUGGGCACCGGGGUGGCCGCACAGAAUGGCAUCCUCAUCAAGGGAGGCAAGCCCCUGGAGAUGGCGCACAAGAUAAAGACUGUGAUGUUUGACAAGACUGGCACCAUUACCCAUGGCGUCCCCAGGGUCAUGCGGGUGCUCCUGCUGGGGGAUGUGGCCACACUGCCCCUCAGGAAGGUUCUGGCUGUGGUGGGGACUGCGGAGGCCAGCAGUGAACACCCCUUGGGCGUGGCAGUCACCAAAUACUGUAAAGAGGAACUUGGAACAGAGACCUUGGGAUACUGCACGGACUUCCAGGCAGUGCCAGGCUGUGGAAUUGGGUGCAAAGUCAGCAACGUGGAAGGCAUCCUGGCCCACAGUGAGCGCCCUUUGAGGGCACUGGCCAGUCACCUGAAUGAGGCUGGCAGCCUUCCCGCAGAAAAAGAUGCAGCCCCCCAGACCUUCUCUGUGCUGAUUGGAAACCGUGAGUGGCUGAGGCGCAACGGUUUAACCAUUUCUAGCGACGUCAGUGACGCUAUGACAGACCACGAGAUGAAAGGACAGACAGCCAUCCUGGUGGCUAUUGACGGUGUGCUCUGUGGGAUGAUCGCUAUUGCAGAUGCUGUCAAGCAGGAGGCUGCCCUGGCUGUGCACACGCUGCAAAGCAUGGGUGUGGACGUGGUUCUGAUCACGGGGGACAACCGGAAGACAGCCAGAGCCAUUGCCACCCAGGUUGGCAUCAACAAAGUCUUUGCAGAGGUGCUGCCUUCGCACAAGGUGGCCAAGGUCCAGGAGCUCCAGAAUAAAGGGAAGAAAGUCGCCAUGGUGGGGGAUGGGGUCAAUGACUCCCCAGCCUUGGCCCAGGCAGACAUGGGUGUUGCCAUUGGCACCGGCACGGAUGUGGCCAUCGAGGCAGCCGACGUCGUCCUUAUCAGAAAUGAUUUGCUGGACGUGGUGGCUAGCAUUCACCUUUCCAAGAGGACUGUCCGAAGGAUACGCAUCAACCUGGUCCUGGCACUGAUUUAUAACCUGGUUGGGAUACCCAUUGCAGCAGGUGUCUUCAUGCCCAUCGGCAUUGUGCUGCAGCCCUGGAUGGGCUCAGCGGCCAUGGCAGCCUCCUCUGUGUCUGUGGUGCUCUCAUCCCUGCAGCUCAAGUGCUAUAAGAAGCCUGACCUGGAGAGGUAUGAGGCACAGGCGCAUGGCCACAUGAAGCCCCUGACGGCAUCGCAGGUCAGUGUGCACAUAGGCAUGGAUGACAGGCGGAGGGACUCCCCCAGGGCCACACCAUGGGACCAGGUCAGCUAUGUCAGCCAGGUGUCGCUGUCCUCCCUGACGUCCGACAAGCCAUCUCGGCACAGCGCUGCAGCAGACGAUGGUGGGGACAAGUGGUCUCUGCUCCUGAAUGGCAGGGAUGAGGAGCAGUACAUCUGAUGACUUCAGGCAGGCGGACCGGGGCAGGGACUUGCCUCCACUCACCACAAGCUGAGCAGGACAGCCAGCAGCAGGAUGGGCUGAGCUAGCCUCCAGCUUUGGGGACUUCCACUCCCUGGAUAUGUCCAGUCAUCCUGCCCUGCAGCACGCGGCCUUGUCUGGGUGCAGCUGGGCUUGGCCUGGAGAGGACGGCCCUGCCUGCCUCUUGGCCUCACGGGACCGUCAGCAUGGGCUUUGUCUUGGACUCUAGUCCUUGGCUGGACUGUAGAAGGUGAGAGGCGAGUCACCCUCCUCACAGACCUCUGCUUGGAGUAUUUAGGAUGACUGCUAUGAAAUGGAGAACAGUUUCAUCAGGACCAAAAAACCUCACUGGGCCUUUCCAGAGAACUGCAGACCUCACUGUCAGGCUCUUUCUGAUGACGCCUGUCUGUGUGCAUCAUGUUUCUGAGACCACAGUUUACCUCAGGUGUGCCUGUUGCUUUCUUCCUGCAU